AGAAUCAACGCUGGCGGCGUGCCUAACACAUGCAAGUCGCACGAGAAAGGGUAGCAAUACCUGAGUACAGUGGCGCACGGGUGAGUAACACGUGAAUCAUCUACCUUCGAGUGGGGAAUAACUGAGAGAAAUCUUAGCUAAUACCGCAUAAUACCCACGGGUCAAAGCAGCAAUGCGCUUGAAGAGGAGUUCGCGGCAGAUUAGUUAGUUGGCGGGGUAAUGGCCCACCAAGACGAUGAUCUGUA
Molecule: ribosomal RNA, 245 nt
Filed under: uncultured bacterium
Lineage: Bacteria
Description: partial small subunit ribosomal RNA
Rfam family: Bacterial small subunit ribosomal RNA
Source: RNAcentral